This 915-nucleotide ribosomal RNA is filed under the name uncultured bacterium. RNAcentral describes it as "bacterial SSU rRNA". It matches the Rfam family "Bacterial small subunit ribosomal RNA", at positions 55 to 979 of the family's 1533-position model. The record is from RNAcentral.
AUGCAAGUCGGACGAACUUAAUCGUUAGUUUACUAAUGAAGCGGUUAGUGGCGGACUGGUGAGUAACACGUAAGCAACCUGCCUAUUAGAGGGGAACAACAGUUAGAAAUGACUGCUAAUACCGCAUAUGCCAUAAGUAUCGCAUGAUACAAGUGGGAAAGGAGCAAUCCGCUAAUAGAUAGGCUUGCGUCUGAUUAGAUAGUUGGUGGGGUAACGGCCUACCAAGUCGACGAUCAGUAGCCGAGUUGAGAGACUCUACGGCCACAUUGGGACUGAGAUACGGCCCAGACUCCUACGGGAGGCAGCAGUCGGGAAUAUUGCGCAAUGGAGGAAACUCUGACGCAGUGACGCCGCGUGCAGGAAGAAGGUUUUCGGAUUGUAAACUGCUUUAGACAGGGAAGAAAAAGACAGUACCUGUAGAAUAAGCUCCGGCUAACUACGUGCCAGCAGCCGCGGUAAUACGUAGGGAGCAAGCGUUAUCCGGAUUUAUUGGGUGUAAAGGGUGCGUAGACGGGAAAAUAAGUUAGUUGUGAAAUCCCCAUGCUUAACAUGGGAACUGCAACUAAAACUGUUUUUCUUGAGUGCUGGAGAGGAAAGUGGAAUUCCUAGUGUAGCGGUGAAAUGCGUAGAUAUUAGGAGGAACACCAGUGGCGAAGGCGACUUUCUGGACAGUAACUGACGUUGAGGCACGAAAGUGUGGGGAGCAAACAGGAUUAGAUACCCUGGUAGUCCACACCGUAAACGAUGGAUACUAGGUGUAGGGUGUGAUAAACGCUCUGUGCCGUCGCAAACGCAGUAAGUAUCCCACCUGGGGAGUACGGCCGCAAGGUUGAAACUCAAAGGAAUUGACGGGGGCCCGCACAAGCAGUGGAGUAUGUGGUUUAAUUCGACGCAACGCGAAGAACCUUACCAGGC